Molecule: ribosomal RNA, 253 nt
Filed under: uncultured bacterium
Lineage: Bacteria
Description: partial 16S ribosomal RNA
Rfam family: Bacterial small subunit ribosomal RNA
Source: RNAcentral
UACGUAGGGGGCAAGCGUUAUCCGGAUUUACUGGGUGUAAAGGGAGCGUAGACGGCCAGACAAGUCUGAAGUGAAAAUCCAGCGCUUAACGUUGGAAGUGCUUUGGAAACUGCCGGGCUAGAGUGCAGGAGGGGCAGGCGGAAUUCCUAGUGUAGCGGUGAAAUGCGUAGAUAUUACGCAGAACUCCGAUUGCGAAGGCAGCGUACCGGCGCCCUACUGACGCUGAAGCACGAAGGCGUGGGUAUCGAACAGG